AGUGAACGCUGGCGGUAGGCCUAACACAUGCAAGUCGAACGGCAGCACAGUAAGAGCUUGCUCUUACGGGUGGCGAGUGGCGGACGGGUGAGGAAUACAUCGGAAUCUACUUUUUCGUGGGGGAUAACGUAGGGAAACUUACUCUAAUACCGCAUACGACCUACGGGUGAAAGCAGGGGAUCUUCGGACCUUGCGCGAUUGAAUGAGCCGAUGUCGGAUUCGCUAGUUGGCGGGGUAAAGGCCCACCAAGGCGACGAUCCGUAGCUGGUCUGAGAGGAUGAUCAGCCACACUGGAACUGAGACACGGUCCAGACUCCUACGGGAGGCCGCAGUGGGGAAUAUUGGACAAUGGGCGCAAGCCUGAUCCAGCCCUACCGCGUGGGUGAAGAAGGCCUUCGGGUUGUAAAGCCCCUUUGUUGGGAAAGAAAAGCAGCAGGUUAAUACCCCGCUGUUCUGACGGUACCCAAAGAAUAAGCACCGGCUAACUUCGUG
RNAcentral lists this ribosomal RNA (492 nucleotides) under uncultured bacterium. RNAcentral describes it as "partial 16S ribosomal RNA". It matches the Rfam family "Bacterial small subunit ribosomal RNA", at positions 29 to 507 of the family's 1533-position model. The record is from RNAcentral.